UAACACGUGAGUAACCUGCCCCCGAGAGUGGGAUAGCCCUGGGAAACUGGGAUUAAUACCGCAUAGAAUCGCAAGAUUAAAGCAGCAAUGCGCUUGGGGAUGGGCUCGCGGCCUAUUAGUUAGUUGGUGAGGUAACGGCUCACCAAGGCGAUGACGGGUAGCCGGUCUGAGAGGAUGUCCGGCCACACUGGAACUGAGACACGGUCCAGACACCUACGGGUGGCAGCAGUCGAGAAUCAUUCACAAUGGGGGAAACCCUGAUGGUGCGACGCCGCGUGGGGGAAUGAAGGUCUUCGGAUUGUAAACCCCUGUCAUGUGGGAGCAAAUUAAAAAGAUAGUACCACAAGAGGAAGAGACGGCUAACUCUGUGCCAGCAGCCGCGGUAAUACAGAGGUCUCAAGCGUUGUUCGGAAUCACUGGGCGUAAAGCGUGCGUAGGCUGUUUCGUAAGUCGUGUGUGAAAGGCGCGGGCUCAACCCGCGGACGGCACAUGAUACUGCGAGACUAGAGUAAUGGAGGGGGAACCGGAAUUCUCGGUGUAGCAGUGAAAUGCGUAGAUAUCGAGAGGAACACUCGUGGCGAAGGCGGGUUCCUGGACAUUAACUGACGCUGAGGCACGAAGGCCAGGGGAGCGAAAGGGAUUAGAUACCCCUGUAGUCCUGGCAGUAAACGGUGCACGCUUGGUGU
RNAcentral lists this ribosomal RNA (686 nucleotides) under uncultured bacterium. RNAcentral's name for it is "bacterial SSU rRNA". It matches the Rfam family "Bacterial small subunit ribosomal RNA", at positions 111 to 823 of the family's 1533-position model. The record is from RNAcentral.